This 1149-nucleotide ribosomal RNA is filed under the name Triticum aestivum (bread wheat). RNAcentral's name for it is "partial small subunit ribosomal RNA". Lineage: Eukaryota; Viridiplantae; Streptophyta; Magnoliopsida; Poales; Poaceae. The record is from RNAcentral.
AUGGUUUCCCUCUGGCACACCUCCUUCAUUGUCCUUGUGCUCCUAUUCCUUGGAGGAUCCCAUGCCAACCCAGCCGCCCGCCGCCACGGUCAGCUGGAUGUAAACCACAAGAAGCAGCCACUACAGACAUCCAGACCUUACAACAUUGCCCACAGGGGUUCCAAUGGCGAAAUACCCGAAGAGACAGCUGCGGCAUAUUUGAGGGCAAUCGAGGAAGGUGCAGACUUCAUAGAGACUGAUAUACUUGCAUCAAAGGACGGACAUCUGAUAUGUUUCCAUGAUGUAAUCCUGGAUGCCACGACGGACAUCGCGAACCGUACCGAGUUUGCUGGCAGGAAGAGAACUUAUGAUGUCCAGGGAUUUAAGUUGACUGGGUGGUUUAUCGUGGAUUUUACUUUAAGAGAACUGAAAUCACUGAGGGUGAAACAGCGCUACAAUUUCAGGGAUCAACAGUAUAAUUGGAAGUACAAUAUUCUUACAUUUGAUGAGUUUAUCUUGAUUGCACUUCAUGCUGACAGGGUGGUCGGAAUAUACCCAGAGAUCAAGAAUCCUAUUUUCAUCAACCAGCAUGUCAAGUGGUCAGGCGGUAAGAAGUUUGAGGACAAGUUUGUCGGGACGCUUCUCAAGUAUGGCUACAAAGGCAAAUAUAUGUCUAAAGAUUGGCUCAAGAAGCCACUAUUCAUCCAAUCCUUUGCUCCAACUUCACUAAUUUACAUCUCAAACAUGACAAAUGCUCCAAAACUGCUUCUAAUAUACGACACCACAGUUCCAACUCAAGAUACCAACCAGUCAUACUAUGAGAUAACGUCGAACGGCUAUCUCGCGUUCAUAAGGAAGUAUGUAAUUGGGAUUGGGCCAUGGAAGGAUACAAUUAUCCCCCCAAAGAAUAACCAUCUAGGCCUUGCAACCGAUCUUGUGGCACGGGCACACGCUCUGAAUCUUCAGGUGCAUCCAUACACAUUCAGAAAUGAGAACUCCUUCCUGCACUUCAACUUCCAUCAAGACCCUUAUGCUGAAUAUGAGUACUGGCUCAAAGAGAUUGGAGUCGACGCGCUGUUCACCGAUUUCACCGGCAGCUUGCACAAGUACCAGGAGUGGACAGCUCCACACCAAAAGAAGGAAAAGAAGUGCAGAGGAACUCCUGCAUGA